Molecule: microRNA precursor, 64 nt
Organism: Gadus morhua (Atlantic cod)
Lineage: Eukaryota; Metazoa; Chordata; Actinopteri; Gadiformes; Gadidae
Source: Ensembl
CCUCCCAUCUAUCCUCUAUUUCCACAUAUACAUGUGUAGAUGGAAGUAGAAUAGCUGGGAGAGU